This is a non-coding RNA of Mus caroli (Ryukyu mouse), 1527 nucleotides long. Lineage: Eukaryota; Metazoa; Chordata; Mammalia; Rodentia; Muridae. The record is from RefSeq and is a predicted model, not a curated record.
CAAGAAGAUAAUGGAACUGCACUUAGAAUAUGAGAGGACUUUCCUGCCCUGAAAUCAUCUAAGUGGAUCAUUUAGUGAAAAGGAUCCAGGAUCAAGUUUUAAAUGAAGGUGACAAUCAAGAUUUCAUUUUGAAUAUAUUUACACAAACAGCAAGAACACUGACUUUAAAUAUCCUGACCUGGAUAGCAAUUUUCAGGCCAGAUUUCCUCAGCAUAUCCCAAGUACCAGCUGGAAAAAUCCUCAGGUAUUUACCAUGGAAACAAGGCACUGCCCUUGGGCAGUUCUGUAUUUUCUAUUCCUACUGCCCCUUUCUCUCCCAACCACCUUGGGGGGCAUUGAUGGUUAAGAAGACCUCCAUUACAGAAGAUUCUACAUCAAAGAAUCUUCAUGGAUCUUUAUGAGGCUUCAACAAUAUGGAACUCCUUUUUAUGCCUUACCAUCAAAGGAACCAUUAGAAGAUGGGGAUCUAUGUGGAAGAAGUAGACCAAGAGUGACAGAAUUUUAAGCUUGUACCUAAACCCUGGGUCCUGACAGACUUUUUGCUGAUCCACUGUGAUGUGAAUGGCCUAUGUCACAUGUCCCAGAUGCCAUGAUAUGAAUCUCUCUGCUGUGCUUUCCCCAUCAUGAUGAACUUAAACCCUGAACCCAAAUAUGUCUUCAACUUGCUUGUGUCUGUCAAGGAUUAUCAUCAUAGCAAUGCAAAAUGUAUCAACCUAUCAAGUAACGGUUAUUGUACCUAGUAAUGGUCCAAUAAUGAUGCAAUAGAGAGUUAAAAUCUACCAUGCCACCAAUUCAGAUGUGCCAAAGGAGAGUGGGAGAAUACUUCCUUUAGGGGGAAAGGUCUCAAAACAUAUAAAACAUUUACUUGUACCGGCAGGUACUUUCAGUGGUUCUGAAAUGUCUCCGUCCAUAAAUCAGAGGAAUGCCUAUAUUUGGAAUUCAACUUUUUUUGAUACAUUACUUCUGCAAGUAUGUGUAAUGGAGGAAGGGAUGUCUUUAAGGAAAGAUUCUACUAAUGGAGGUUUCAAAGAAGAUGGCUGCUGUAAGCAAGCUAAUUAGACAUUCACUGCUAACAAUCUUGACCUCAAUUAGGUGAAGGAUUCCUAAUUAAAUCCUUUCAGGCUUUUGUGUUAAAUGGUAAUUGAAUGCCUAAAAGUUUCUCACAAUUAUAUCAUAUUAACAAGAAUGUAUUUGCAUUUUUAAUGCUUUAUUGAUUUCCAAUUCAUUAUAGAGCUGCUUAUGUUAUUUCACAGUGCCGUUGAAACCUUUGUAAACCUUUGUAAACUGUUCUUUGGUGUCCAGACACUUGGGUACAGGUUAGAAAAGUAGCAAAGUUUGUGACCCACUCUGGGCAUUUGCAGUCUGCAGUAGUUUAGCUGCCUCUGCCCACAGCUGUCACCACCUCUUUAAACAUUCAUGAGCAUGUGUGCAGGAAGAAGACUCAGGGAAGCUGGAGACACACAGUCUAGACCACGCUCUUGGCUGUUGGUAAAUCUCAUACUCUCAUGAAGUGCCAUCUCUUUUGAG